GACGAACGCUGGCGGCGUGCCUAACACAUGCAAGUCGAACGGAACUUACCGAAUGAAGUUUUCGGAUGGAUUUUGGUAAGUUUAGUGGCGGACGGGUGAGUAACGCGUGAGUAACCUGCCUUCAAGAGGGGAAUAACGUUCUGAAAAGAACGCUAAUACCGCAUAACAUACGGAUGUCGCAUGGCAACCGUAUCAAAGAUUAUAUCGCUUGAAGAUGGACUCGCGUCCGAUUAGCCAGUUGGCGGGGUAACGGCCCACCAAAGCGACGAUCGGUAGCCGGACUGAGAGGUUGAACGGCCACAUUGGGACUGAGACACGGCCCAGACUCCUACGGGAGGCAGCAGUGGGGGAUAUUGCGCAAUGGGGGCAACCCUGACGCAGCAACGCCACGUGAACGAUGAAGGUCUUCGGAUUGUAAAGUUCUUUUAUUAAGGACGAAGAAGUGACGGUACUUAAUGAAUAAGCUCCGGCUAACUACGUGCCAGCAGCCGCGGUAAUACGUAGGGAGCAAGCGUUGUCCGGAUUUACUGGGUGUAAAGGGUGCGUAGGCGGCAGAGCAAGUCAGAUGUGAAAUCCGUGGGCUUAACCCACGUACUGCAUUUGAAACUGUUUUGCUUGAGUGAAGUAGAGGCAGGCGGAAUUCCCUGUGUAGCGGUGAAAUGCGUAGAGAUAGGGAGGAACACCAGUGGCGAAGGCGGCCUGCUGGGCUUUAACUGACGCUGAGGCACGAAAGCGUGGGUAGCAAACAGG
This 750-nucleotide ribosomal RNA is filed under the name uncultured bacterium. RNAcentral describes it as "bacterial SSU rRNA". It matches the Rfam family "Bacterial small subunit ribosomal RNA", at positions 28 to 776 of the family's 1533-position model. The record is from RNAcentral.